AUGAGUAAGGACAGGUUCCAGGAUUUGGUCGACUGGGCGGAGGAGAACAAGGCAGCGUACAAGGACGGCGGGAAGUGGACGGAGGAGGUGAACCUCGGCCUCGGUAGCCCGGCGCUGGUGAUCUCCGGCUUCGUCCCGUUCGCCAUCGACGGGGAUCUGGGGUUCGGGAAGCCGAGGCUGGUCUUGCCGUGGCUGCGGCACAACCGGCUGGGGUCGGCGGCGAUGAUCCUCGUGCCCUGCCCGAGCGGGGAUGGGUCGUGGUUCGUGGAAGGCACGAGGCUGUGGCCGCGGCUGGUGGAGGUGGUGGAGAAUGUCCCGGAGAGCUUGCUGACGCCGGUGACGGCCGGGAGUCUAGGGUUCGCAGAGCCGGCCGGCGAGCACUACGGUUCCCGUCUGUGA
Molecule: ribosomal RNA, 399 nt
Filed under: Triticum aestivum (bread wheat)
Lineage: Eukaryota; Viridiplantae; Streptophyta; Magnoliopsida; Poales; Poaceae
Description: partial small subunit ribosomal RNA
Source: RNAcentral